CCCCCACAGUGCCCUCACGC
This 20-nucleotide microRNA is filed under the name Callorhinchus milii (elephant shark). RNAcentral describes it as "eshark_NOVEL_229". Lineage: Eukaryota; Metazoa; Chordata; Chondrichthyes; Chimaeriformes; Callorhinchidae. The record is from RNAcentral.